RNAcentral lists this ribosomal RNA (329 nucleotides) under uncultured eukaryote. RNAcentral describes it as "partial 18S ribosomal RNA". It matches the Rfam family "Eukaryotic small subunit ribosomal RNA", at positions 1470 to 1796 of the family's 1831-position model. The record is from RNAcentral.
CCCUUAGAUGUUCUGGGCCGCACGCGCGCUACAAUGAUGAAUUCAACGAGUUUAUAACCUUGGUUGAAAAGCCUGGGUAAUCUUUUGAACUUUCGUCGUGAUGGGGCUAGACCCUUGCAAUUAUUGGUCUCCAACGAGGAAUUCCUAGUAAACGCAAGUCAUCAGCUUGCAUUGAUUACGUCCCUGCCCUUUGUACACACCGCCCGCCGCACCUACCGAUUGAAUGGUCCGGUGAAAUCUUCGGAUUGAGACUUUGAUUUCUUCACGGAAAACGCUGUUUUAAAAAGUUGAUUAAACCUUACCAUUUAGAGGAAGGUGAAGUCGUAACA